GUUCUAAUAGCCUAAUACCAAGGCAUUGACCUUGUAAAUCAAAGACGGGGCUUAAGCCCCUUAGAUCA
This 68-nucleotide transfer RNA is filed under the name Gekko vittatus (white-lined gecko). RNAcentral describes it as "tRNA-Thr". It matches the Rfam family "tRNA". From Rfam's summary of the family: Transfer RNA (tRNA) molecules are approximately 80 nucleotides in length. Lineage: Eukaryota; Metazoa; Chordata; Lepidosauria; Squamata; Gekkonidae. The record is from RNAcentral.